RNAcentral lists this ribosomal RNA (253 nucleotides) under uncultured bacterium. RNAcentral's name for it is "partial 16S ribosomal RNA". It matches the Rfam family "Bacterial small subunit ribosomal RNA", at positions 524 to 776 of the family's 1533-position model. The record is from RNAcentral.
UACGAAGGGGGCAAGCGUUGUUCGGAAUUACUGGGCGUAAAGGGCGCGUAGGCGGCUUAUCAAGUCAGGCGUGAAAUUCCCGGGCUCAACCUGGGGGCUGCGCUUGAUACUGAUGAGCUUGAGUGCGGGAGAGGAUAGUGGAAUUCCCAGUGUAGAGGUGAAAUUCGUAGAUAUUGGGAAGAACACCGGUGGCGAAGGCGGCUAUCUGGCCCGUAAUUGACGCUGAGGCGCGAAAGCGUGGGGAGCAAACAGG